AUUUGAGCUCUGAGCCAAUAGCAUAUUUGAGGAUGCAUCAAUUCUCCUUGAAUGAGCAGACACAUCAAUAGCACUUCGCAUACAUGGUUGAAGCGAGGACGCACCAUUAGUGUACACUUGAGAUAAAUUUGCAUUAACAGUCUGGUGCACAUUCUCAGGCUUGACAUGAGGUCCAGCAUGAUCUCUUGCUUGACAUGUUGAGUUCGGUGGAAUUUGACGAAUCUGAGAUCCAUUAGGGAUUGGUCGUGUUGGAAUCAUCUGCAUUGCCUCAACCUGUCUCUCAAGCAAAUCAUUGAAUCUCUCUAUCUGAUCCUUCACCAUCAACCGUACAUGAUAUGCCCUGAAAAAUUCUUGGUUUUCUUCUUCAAGCUUCUGCCAUACAAGCUCAGUGAAACCAGGCUCAAUUUUUGCUUGAUCUAAGAGGGUUCUGAUAACUUCCUCCUGGUUCAUGUAAAGCUGUAGACAUCUUUCUAUAAGAUUUUGCACCAGUUGUAUAUCUUGACGUGAUAUCUUCUUAGCUUCCCCCUCAGACAUUUCAAUCUUUCAAUACUGAAAUAUAAUCCGUUCACCGGAAACAAAACAACCGUUGACAACUAUCAGCCGGUGGCGUCAACUAGGUAAAUCGCCGGCGCCGAUCCUCCGAUUUCG
RNAcentral lists this unclassified non-coding RNA (648 nucleotides) under Hevea brasiliensis (rubber tree). Lineage: Eukaryota; Viridiplantae; Streptophyta; Magnoliopsida; Malpighiales; Euphorbiaceae. The record is from RNAcentral.